UGUCACUCCUUUCUGGUUGUAUUCACUUGGGACGCUGAUUGUGCACCUCCCUAACCCUCUAGCACUGCUCUGUUCGUCCAUCUUUCUCAUCCUAAAUACCGCUAUCGGCAGUGCCAGCAUCACUACUGUUCAGUACUUUGUGAUAACAGAUGGCUCAUGUCCGCUAUUAUCGAUGACUCCCCGGCUGCUGAUAGUAGGCAGAACUCGCUAUGUAGUAGAUGUACGGCGCUGUGUAGGAGGGAACAGAUUAACACAGUGGAUCUUUGUCCAGCAUAGAGAACAAGUGUGACUGGAGUUAAUAAUUCAAGAAAAAGUGCAAAACAACAGCACUGAAAAAACAUUUUCCACACUACAAGUUUUAAGGUAACAGAACAUUGGAGCAGGGCAGACAUGAUGUGCAGGAAUAACAAGACAAUAUUGAAAGUGUUUCUAUUAUUCAUGAGGGAAACAACUGUAAAUAGCUAUGAUAACUGUUUCCUUUUUUUUGUCAAUUUGUUAUUGGUUUCAU
Long non-coding RNA from Hyla sarda, 508 nucleotides. RefSeq lists it as uncharacterized. NCBI's taxonomy places the organism in Eukaryota, Metazoa, Chordata, Amphibia, Anura, Hylidae. The transcript is spliced from 3 exons. The record is from RefSeq and is a predicted model, not a curated record.